GGGUGAUACGACCUGCACAAAUGCCAACUUUUAGCGCACGGCUCUUUACGGAGCCAUUUCCCUGGACCGGAGACAGGAAUCGUCUUCGGUCUUUUUUU
RNAcentral lists this small RNA (98 nucleotides) under Erwinia mallotivora. Lineage: Bacteria; Pseudomonadati; Pseudomonadota; Gammaproteobacteria; Enterobacterales; Erwiniaceae. The record is from RNAcentral.